AUCACCUGGGGAUCUUGCUAAAAUGCAGCUUCUGAUUCAGUAGAUCUAUAAUGAGGCCUGAGAUUCUGCAUUUCUAACAAGGUCCUAGGGGAUACCAC
This 98-nucleotide microRNA precursor is filed under the name Felis catus (domestic cat). RNAcentral describes it as "mir-544 microRNA precursor family". It matches the Rfam family "mir-544 microRNA precursor family". The record is from Rfam by way of RNAcentral. Lineage: Eukaryota; Metazoa; Chordata; Mammalia; Carnivora; Felidae.